GACGAACGCUGGCGGCGUGCUUAACACAUGCAAGUCGAACGGAAAGGCCCUGCUUUUGUGGGGUGCUCGAGUCGCGAACGGGUGUGUAACACGUGAGUAACCUUCCCUUGACUUUGGGAUAACCUCAGGAAACUGGGGCUAAUACCGGAGUGGUGCGCCUGAUGGAUGGUGGGGGUUGGAAAGUAUCGGCGGUGGGGGAUGGACGCGCGGCUUAUGAGCUUGUUGGUGGGGUAGUGGCUUACCAAGGCUUCGACGGCUCGCCGGCGUGGGAGGGGGGCCGGCGACAAUGGGACUAAGAGACGGCGCAGACUCCAACGGGAGGCAGCGGGGGGGAAUAUGGCCCAGUGGGCGGAAGCCUGAGGCGGCAGCGCCGGGAGCGGGAUGACGGCCUUCGUGUUAUGAACCGCUGUCGCCUGUGACGAAGCGUUAGUGACGGUAAUGGGUAAAGAAGCACCGGCUAACUACGUG
This 468-nucleotide ribosomal RNA is filed under the name uncultured bacterium. Its description in RNAcentral is "partial 16S ribosomal RNA". It matches the Rfam family "Bacterial small subunit ribosomal RNA", at positions 28 to 507 of the family's 1533-position model. The record is from RNAcentral.